AGUGAACGCUGGCGGUAGGCCUAACACAUGCAAGUCGAACGGCAGCACAGUAAGAGCUUGCUCUUACGGGUGGCGAGUGGCGGGCGGGUGAGGAAUACAUCCGAAUCUACUUUUUCGUGGGUGAUAACGUAGGGAAACUUACGCUAAUACCGCAUACGACCUACGGGUGAAAGCAGGGGAUCUUCGGACCUUGCGCGAUUGAAUGAGCCGAUGUCGGAUUAGCUAGUUGGCGGGGUAAGGGCCCACCAAGGCGACGAUCCGUAGCUGGUCUGAGAGGAUGAUCAGCCACACUGGAACUGAGACACGGUCCAGACUCCUACGGGAGGCAGCAGUGGGGAAUAUUGGACAAUGGGCGCAAGCCUGAUCCAGCCAUACCGCGUGUGUGAAGAAGGCCUUCGGGUUGUAAAGCCCUUUUGUUGGGAAAGAAAAGCAGCAGGUUAAUACCCCGCUGUUCUGACGGUACCCAAAGAAUAAGCACCGGCUAACUUCGUG
This 492-nucleotide ribosomal RNA is filed under the name uncultured bacterium. RNAcentral describes it as "partial 16S ribosomal RNA". It matches the Rfam family "Bacterial small subunit ribosomal RNA", at positions 29 to 507 of the family's 1533-position model. The record is from RNAcentral.